CUGGUCUGGUGCUGCUGCUGGGGCUGUCAGAGAGAGGGGGUGGGGGUCUGGGGGUGUGCGGGUCAGCGGCCGGCGCGCCCUCUAGCGGCGGAUGAGCGCAGCGCCGUUUGAGCCCUCUGACUCUCCGUACUGGAUGCUGCUGAUGAACCUGCUCCGCGCUGUUUAUCCGUAGCCCGUAGGCUCCCUCCGCGCGAGGAGAAAGGCGUUGGAUUACGAGCAGACAGGCGGGGAUGUUCGGCCCUUAGUCCCGCAGUGAGGAGCCGCUGAGCAGCAGCAUGGAGGUGUGGAGACUCCCGCAUCCGUCCUGCCCGUCCGCCGUUCAGCUCUUCAGGAGAUGAAGUAACGCCGUUCUGACCCAGAGGAAUCCGCGGCGGCUGCCCGGCAACCGAGCAUCCCCUCCCCGCCGCAGAUCAGCAGCAGACUCGGUGUUGUGUCUCCUCCAGCCCGCCGCUGCGGAUGGAGCUCUGAUUACCGGGCAGCUCCUCACUGAACCCCGGCGGGAGCAGCGCCGCUCAGCCGCGGGAUGAAGAGCAGAAACAAAGGGAUGCAGCGCUAGAGGGAGAGUCCGGGCUCGGUUCCGCGGGAAGGAAACUCCUCCAGGUAGUUCAGGACUGUCCCUUGGUGAGGCAGGGCAGGACAGGGCGAGGUGAGGAGGGGCCGCUGACCGGAUGCCCUUUGGGGCAGAAGCCGCAUGGCCUCGACCAUGAGCCGGCUGAUGCUGGGCCGGACGCUGGAGCGGAUCUGUAAGGCCGUGCUGCUGCUGUGUCUGGUGCACUUCCUCAUCAUGAUGAUCCUGUACUUCGACGUGUACAGCCAGCGCUUCGACAUCUUCAGCCGCUUCAACAACGGCCGCGGCGCCAACGCCUCCCGCGGACCCCACCACUACUACUACAACUACUCCAGACCCAACACCACCUUCCCCAGCUACCUGCCCGGCGCAGACCAGCUCCUACCCACCGCCAAGCCUGAGGCCAACCGCACACGCCCAACUCCAAAACCCAUCCCUCCCUGCCCUGAGGUGCCUCCUGGACUCGUGGGGCGUCUCCUGAUCGAGUUCAGCUCUCAGAUGACGAUGGAGAGGGUGCAGAGGGAGAACCCAAACGUGACGGAGGGGGGCAAGUACACGCCCACGGACUGUCGGCCCAAGCAGAAGGUCGCCAUCAUCAUCCCCUUCAGACACAGAGACCACCACCUGAAGUACUGGCUGCACUACCUGCACCCCAUCCUGCGCCGCCAGAAGAUCGACUACGGCAUCUACAUCAUCAACCAGCUCGGGGAGGACACGUUUAACCGGGCGAAGCUGCUGAACGUGGGCUACACGGAGGCUCUGAAGGACGCAGAGUACGACUGCUUCAUCUUCAGUGACGUGGACCUCAUCCCCAUGGAUGACCGUAACCUGUACCACUGCUAUGACCAGCCGCGCCACUUCGCCAUCGCCAUGGACAAGUUCGGCUUCAGGCUACCAUAUGCAGGAUAUUUUGGAGGAGUCUCUGGCUUAAGCAAAAAGCAGUUUCUUAAAAUCAACGGCUUCCCCAACGAGUACUGGGGCUGGGGAGGGGAGGACGACGACAUCUACAACAGGAUUACUCUGAACGGUAUGAAGGUGUCUCGGCCGGAUGUGCGGAUUGGCCGGUACAGGAUGAUAAAGCACGAGAGGGACAAGCACAAUGAGCCAAACCCCCAGAGAUUUAAUAAAAUCCAGAACACAAAGAACACCAUGAGGAAGGACGGCAUCAGCUCGCUGACGUAUCGCCUGGCCUCUGUUAAGAAGUACCCGCUCUACACCAACAUCUCAGUGGAGAUCGGCAAACCCCCUCCCAGACCCAUCAAAGGAUAGAUAGACCGGGACCUCUCUAAUCCAGCUCAACACACACACACACACCCACACACACACACACAAACACUCACACGUGAACACACACUGCGCUGGUCUGGGCCGUCUGCCUCUAACUGCAGCACUGACAUGCUGAACAGGUUAGUUCUCAGGAAUCCCCGCGGGGUCGUCCGGCAGCGAGCCGGGGGGCGGAGCUAUAAUCAUCUGAAUUCUAAUCCUCGCUCAGAUCCAGACUGCUACACUGACUCGCUCUGAGCAGAACAGAUCAUGUUUUGUUAACGGGACUCUGCUGCUGUAGAGCACAGGAAGCCAUAGCGAAUAUGGACGACGCCCCCUCCAGUAAACCGCUCCCCCCGGAGGAGCUGGAGGAGCUGGAGGCUCUGUGUGACAGGUUGAGCAGUUUCUGGGCUCGGUCUCCAGGAGCACGGAUGCUUGGAAGGUUGGAAGAUUGGGAUGGUCUAACAGAAUUCCAAGCGAGGAGCAUCGCCCUGAUCACUUGAUGUAAAUCAGUUGAAGAUACUGACAGUAACAGUAACUGUACAUUGCAGAAAAUGAAUGUCUCUUUUUUUGUACCUGCAGCUCCUGCAGCGUCCGAGGUUUCUUCGUAUCUCUGAAGCCGGAUCUGGUGAAGUAGUUUAAUCGGUGCUUGAAGAAUUUUGAAGGCUUUGUGGAACUUCUCGUUCUUUUUCUCUCUGCAUUCAACUUCCUGCCUUUUCUUAUUUUCUAUCAGUUCAGUUUCUGUCUGUUUUUCCUGCUACGUGCCAGGCAGCGUUCUGCACUCCUGAGGAGAAAUUCUGAAUGUUGGAGAUAAGAUUAAUUAGUUAGUCUAAGAUUAUGUUCAGACUGCCAGCCCAAAUCUGAUUUUUUUCAGAUCUGGAUUGUAUUCAGAUUAAGUUUUGACAGACAGACACCACAUAAAAUCCACAUUAGGUAAAUCAAAUCUAAACCAUUGAAACCCAUUUGGAUUUAUUGAGAUGGAUCUCAGUCUGAAUGGUUUGGUCAC
This 2837-nucleotide long non-coding RNA is filed under the name Astyanax mexicanus (Mexican tetra). RNAcentral describes it as "lncRNA (ENSAMXG00005015260.1)". Lineage: Eukaryota; Metazoa; Chordata; Actinopteri; Characiformes; Acestrorhamphidae. The record is from RNAcentral.